Long non-coding RNA from Dipodomys spectabilis (banner-tailed kangaroo rat), 630 nucleotides. RefSeq lists it as uncharacterized. NCBI's taxonomy places the organism in Eukaryota, Metazoa, Chordata, Mammalia, Rodentia, Heteromyidae. The record is from RefSeq and is a predicted model, not a curated record. The transcript has 3 exons.
CUCCUCGGCUGGUCCUGCUUUUCGCAUCACACACUAUAUAAAUAUACGCAGAGAUCGCCCGAUGCAUUCAUGCACCGCGCGCACAGGAUACUUGCUUCAGGGAGAUAAGGGCUGGCCGGGGAACAAUGACGGGGUUCACGCCCAGCGUCCGCGCCCUGAUUCCCCGCGGUCGGCAACGCUGCCCCCUUCACCUCCACACCCCCCCACCGCACCCCACCCCCCUCCGUCCCCAAAUCCAAAGCCAAACGCCGUUAGAUUCUUUCCUUUUCCCGGGGCCCUUGGCCCAAGGUGGCCGUCCUGACUCAUUCACUUUCCGUUUCUUCCCACAGAUACGUUCAUUAAUGCUUUUUCCAGCCGGAGUCCAAACUUUUUUUGGGGAUGGGAAGACGACGGCGGGGGAGUUUGCUAGAACGUGGGAUAACCUGGCCGGAGCGCCUAUUGCUGGGGGAUGAUCUGGACGCACACCGAAGCAAACCAACCAUUAAUAGAACGGACCCCGCGGCCGACCUGCCCUCCACGCCGCCGACCAGCAUGUCCCCCCACGGCGCGCAGCACGCCAGAGCGCAGCACAGCAGAUCCAGACAUCUCCCCGAGUCCUCCCAGGGGGGAAGAAGAAGAAGAAAAAUCCAG